UAUCCCCUCGGAUACGAGGUGUGGGCGGCGACGAGGGAGAUGUGGGCAUGUUGGUGGCGUCGACGAGAGGCGUGGGCGGGAACGGAUGGACGGCUGCAUGGCCCUUCUCUCUCCUGUGGUGCUCUUUCUCUGUCCCCUCUCCCCGUCGUCUCUGGAGCUGGACGCGGCGGCCGGGAAUGAAGCCGCCGCCUCUACCCUGUGCGCGCGACCGAGGUUACCGCUCGCAGUACCUCCACAAGCUGCUUUACAGAAAUUCUCCGGUUCCGCACACGAUACGAUCGAUUCAGCACCGCAUAUACGUAGCAGUAAUAAGUGUGAUCCGCAUAUACGUAGCAGCACCUACUUAACUUAAACUACCUUACAAAUGUGGUGCUGCUGCUGCUGUCCCAGAAUAACCUGCUAAACCGAGGAGUUUGUUCUCCUGGUGAUGGCAUGAGUUUGUGCGUAUACCGUAGGAGUUUGGUAGGUCCUUUCUCGUGUGAAUACGCUCGGGAAUGUCCCUUCGAACUGUUUUCGGAGUUCCAUAGACCGUCGUAGUGUAUAACACCAGUAUGAAAAAGGCUCAAGAUGGGAGUCUCCUGGUCACGCAUACAGUCAGUCAUACUAGAGGUGUUACGUCUCUACUGACAUUCUCUCUGUAAUCUAAAGAGGUCCGCUACGAACCCAUAGCCACGGUCUAUACUGUACGAACGCCUCGAGUGACGUUCCCUCGUGCUCCGUCCGUAUUUAGGUCUAGGACUCUAGCUACGAAUGUACUUUCGAUGACGUCACGUUCCUGUACUCUGAUUAUAAUAUUGGCUAGAAUGAGACUUCCACGAACCCGAACUGUAAACGCGGCUAUUGUAGCAGCCACUACUCUACUGGUCUCCUUAAAGACCUCCCGUUUUCUUCGCACAGUGUUGACCCCUCUACAAUUGUCCUGGACGUUCCCGAAACAAGUACCUACUUUAAAGGUGACCAAACCUAUCGAGAUCGUGUAAAGUCUAACAUUUUAUACAUUCGGUUAACCAGGUACACUACUUACUGUGACACUACUAGAGGGAAGAUGUUGGUGGCGGUCUCUGGAUGUUGAACAAACUACUGUAUUAAGAGGAUAGUCUUCCUAUGUACCACAUGGUACCCGGUGCGCCCUUGUAGAACCUUAAAAAACUUAGGCGACCAAAGGCCACGGGCCUCUCCUUUCCUCAACGACUGAAGGAAGUUCUCCAGUGAAGGUUCUUUCUGGUCGUUGUUAUGACCAUAGAACUGGUCCUCGUCAUAGCAAUACACGGUCAGGAUCUCAAACGACUUGUAAUGUUCAGUAAGGUACACCCAGUCGUUUACGACCUCCUCGACUUCUAAGGAAAACUUUUUAGGUUUUGGGUAGGACGGCGCAACUGGUGCAGCUUCAUACCCGUUAGGUCGACCCUCAGUAAGUUCCGUCACUACAGCUCUCUUGUUGAUAACUACUUCGCGUUGAGGAAGUAGAUGUAGAAGUUCCAGUCGGUCAACUAGUAGGAACCCGAGUACCGGUACUGACAUAAGGAGUCUUGUCUCUACGGGGUACCUGUCUAAAGCCUGCCACGAUUUAAGAAACCUCGAGACUGAAAGUCAAAUUAGUGGUAAAACAAAUUACCCAAACGACUCGAUGUUGAUUGGUAAUUCUAGGAAGGAUGCAAGAUGUUCGUUUCCCUAAAGAACAAGAAGGGGGGUACCUGGAAACCUGACCGUUUGUAGUAGAACUUUCAAGGACAAAGUAAACACCUCCGACCCCACACCCAACAGGAGUGCAUGAUACACUACCCGAAACGUGGAAGACGUCCUUCCAAGAAAGCGGUCAAAAAUCGAAAGAAGCGAUGAGUGGUUUACCGUUACCGAAACAAGGCUAAAGAACCACGAUAAAACUUUAGUUACCAACAACGGUUGUGAAAACCCUACAAACAAGUUGAAUAAUAAAAGUAUAAACCUCCUAAAUAGUAGGGAUCUCCACUGUAGUCUGGUACCACCUAGACCCGAAUGACCCGUAGAGGAUACUACAUAUCAGUCUUACGUUAUAGCCAGUUACUUAAGGAACGGUCAUCCACCCGGUGAGGUUUGUUACUAGGAUGAUAACUACGUGGUUGCCAUCCUUUCCGAUAAGAAUUUAGGUCUCUGAACAAAUGACCUCUGACCCCGAAAACCGAAAGGUAUCCUCGGCAAUAUCCUAAGUGAUAAAACAAGUUGUAGAAUAUGGAAGACCGGGAUUGUAUGAACUCGGGAUCGCCAUCUAGUUUGUGUAAUCAAAGUCUACUCCUCUUACUCUUACCGUGUUUGUUUCUCGUUUACAGUCUUCGGUCACACAGUAGAUGAUACGGUAGAAGUUAUGGAUACCAAAGAUGUCCACGGUUCCUUCGGUGUUUAUCCGGUUGAGUCAGUGCUUGAUGGAACGGAAAGGUCGGAGAAAGUGAAAGGAAGUUGGUAUAUUUGAUAACCCACCUAUACGGACGCCUUUACUUCCUUGUUCCUAAGUGUCUUUCAGCAGAGGUCAACGAGAGACUAUAGUCACCACGUAAAUCCGGUCCUCAAGACUGACGUGAUCAACCACACUCACCUCGACCCUUCUGGUGAGAUUACCUACAGGACCGUCCUUCCUUUUGGUCACCUCGAUAACUUCCUUCAUAGUGGGAGAGGCCAAUGGGAUUUUUCGUUCUUUGAAAACGGGCGUAAUCACCGAUAACACUUGUCUAACUAUAGGUAAGUGGUUUACAAUGUCAUAUACUUAGGUAAGACAUGAGACGGACCGACGCAGAAAGGAGUCUAUAACUACUGCGAUGCUCUUUCUACAAACACCUCCUUCAGUACUGGGAACAUCUUGAACUACACGACGCAUUACGAUACCAACCAGAGGGACCUCAACUGCCCAAUAGCUGACUUGUUUCUUUCUCUGACUGUUAACGACACCUCGAUCAUCGUUUAGGAAGUUAAUAUAAAUACCUACUCGGUUGAAGACCAGAACUACGAUCUCGGCGUCGUUAACAGUACUCCUGUCACUCUUUAUGUCAGUUGUGACCCGCAUGGCACCAAACGUGCUAGGUAGUUGGUUCGUAACUAUAUAAACUCAGAAAACUACUCGAAGACGAAAACUUUUCUCCUCCCGCCCAAUAAAUACGACCACUUGAACCAGCAGUGACACUCUUUGAUCAACUUAUAAAGCUCCUUUAAGGUCCACACCGAUUCUAGUGUUUUCCUAUAUUAGGACGUUGUACCUACGACCUUCAAUCGAGGUGAAAUCGACUCCGAGUGAACUUGUAUUUAAAACGCCUUUAAAUACGAUUAAGGUAAGAAGUAUCCUUUUUGGUUCUGGAAUAAUUCCUUAACCCGCAAGGGGGAGGUCCGAUAGUCCUAGAGAGUAAAGGAUGUUUCAUAAGAGUUUUAAAGAUGUUGGUUACACAACGUUUGAAGACCUUCGUUAUGUUUAGAAUAACCUUCUUAGGUGGGAUGUUACGGUACGCGAUAGAAUACUGCAACGAGCUACCAGAACAUAAACCGUGACACAAAACCGUUUUUCCUUGUUUUUAUCUUAGCGUUGUUCUGAACAUGUUAGAUGAACCCCGGUGAAUACGACGACAGAAGAAGGAACCCCGAUGGUUAACGAAGUGGCAAGUCGGACAACACAGUUAACUCUCUUGUCAAAAGAUGGCACUUUUCCGCCGUCCCUACAUGAGAGGUAAUAGGAUACGUAAUCGAGUCCGUACGUACCUCUAGUAGAUGUUGUAGGAGGUUCCCUACAAUAUGUGUUAGGAGUAGAUACACUACUAACCUAUACUGACCUUUCAACUGUUCAAGAAGAUAAAGUACAAGAAGUAAUAACGUUCGAAGUUGAUGAAGUGUAACAAGCCGUACUACAACCAUAGUAACUGAGGCAGACGUUACGAACGUUCGUAUGAGCAUAGGAAACAUGAGGGAGAGACCUUGGACAAACGACCCAAGGAGCAACAGUCUUGUCGCUAUGGCUAAACCACCUCCACCAUGAUGACCCGGUUGGGUCACAGAACCUGGUAGAUACCACAACAACGUAGCGUCAAACCACUGGUACCGCCAAGAGACGAUCAGGGGCCACCCUCGGGAUACCACCACUUCGUUAAGAACCUCCUAUUAAACCCGCACGCCGUACUAAAGGAACCGAUACAACAGGAUCGGGUGAAACGAAUGUAGUAACGGUAGAAGAAGCAGAAGCCGAUGAGGUAGUUCAAGAAUUUGAAGGUUUUUGCAAUCCGUCACACGUCAGGCAAAACCGCGUUACUUCACUACACAUAUAUACAUAUCAUGUUCGUCAUCCCAAGUCUCUGAGAUGUAUUUGAGGUAACAAUAUAUUAGCUCUCAACCAUCACUAUAUGGACUAAGAUGAUAAUGUUAUAAUUUAUUUAAUUUGUUUAUAUCUUUUCAAGAAAAACCA
Molecule: ribosomal RNA, 4414 nt
Filed under: Triticum aestivum (bread wheat)
Lineage: Eukaryota; Viridiplantae; Streptophyta; Magnoliopsida; Poales; Poaceae
Description: partial small subunit ribosomal RNA
Source: RNAcentral